Molecule: ribosomal RNA, 424 nt
Filed under: Verrucomicrobiota bacterium
Lineage: Bacteria; Pseudomonadati; Verrucomicrobiota
Description: Verrucomicrobia bacterium partial 16S ribosomal RNA
Rfam family: Bacterial small subunit ribosomal RNA
Source: RNAcentral
UGAGGAAUAUUGGUCAAUGGACGCAAGUCUGAACCAGCCAAGUAGCGUGCAGGAUGACGGCCCUAUGGGUUGUAAACUGCUUUUAUAUGGGGAUAAAGUGGGGAACGUGUUCCCUUUUGCAGGUACCAUAUGAAUAAGGACCGGCUAAUUCCGUGCCAGCAGCCGCGGUAAUACGGAAGGUUCGGGCGUUAUCCGGAUUUCUUGGGUUUAAAGGGAGCGUAGGCCGUUUGGUAAGCGUGUUGUGAAAUGUAGGAGCUCAACUUCUAGAUUGCAGCGCGAACUGUCAGACUUGAGUGCGCACAACGUAGGCGGAAUUCAUGGUGUAGCGGUGAAAUGCUUAGAUAUCAUGAAGAACUCCGAUUGCGAAGGCAGCUUACGGGAGCGCAACUGACGCUGAAGCUCGAAGGUGCGGGUAUCGAACAGG